RNAcentral lists this non-coding RNA (98 nucleotides) under Streptomyces sp. RNAcentral's name for it is "Glycine sequence". It matches the Rfam family "Glycine riboswitch aptamer". From Rfam's summary of the family: This family represents the bacterial glycine riboswitch. Glycine riboswitches usually consist of two metabolite-binding aptamers domains with similar structures in tandem. The record is from RNAcentral. RNAcentral also lists the same sequence under 2 other names. Lineage: Bacteria; Bacillati; Actinomycetota; Actinomycetes; Kitasatosporales; Streptomycetaceae.
UGAAUCCGCGCGGGAGAGUCCCCAGCCGUCUGCGCUGGGGCGCCGAAGGAGCAAGUCCCUCCCUUGAAUCUCUCAGGCCCCGUUACCGCGCGGGCGAG